This is a long non-coding RNA of Perca flavescens (yellow perch), 373 nucleotides long. RefSeq lists it as uncharacterized. The transcript has 3 exons. NCBI's taxonomy places the organism in Eukaryota, Metazoa, Chordata, Actinopteri, Perciformes, Percidae. The record is from RefSeq and is a predicted model, not a curated record.
CGAGGACCGAGCAGUCGAGGAGCUAUCAAAUAAGCGACACGAGAAGCACCCUAUGUGUUGGCUUCGCGGUUAAAGUUAAGGAUGAAAGUGUUUGUCUCGUCCUGCAGGCUGCAGCUCAGUCUGCAGGACAUGAAGAGACAUGAUGGUCCCACUCAAGUUUCAACACAUUCAGACACAACCCCACUUCCCUCUGCAGCUCCAUGAAGAAUUAUUGUUCUUCUCCACCUGUCCACCAGGUGUCCUCAGACUCUCCUCAUCCUGAUCACCUGUGUCUCAUUUCCCAAUCACCCUGUCAGCACAUAUACCAGACCUGGUCCUGGUUGGUCCAUGUUGUGUCGGGCUUUAAAAAGCACCAAUACCACACUGUGAAAAC